UGAUUUACCUCAUUUAAAAUAACUGUUAGAUUUUAAAAUGUAAAUUAUUCCUGUGAUCCUUCAGAAAUCAUUCUAACAUGCUGAUUUGAUGCACAAGAAAUAUUUCUUUAUUAAUAUCAGUUAGGGGUGUAAUGGUACACAAACACGACGGUGUAAGGCAGCGUUUGUGCAUGAAGGCACCUCACAAAACUGAUUUCGGACAGACUUCUGAGGCAGAGUAACAGUUUAAUGAUCUACAGCAAAAUAGCACAAGCUUUGCUCAACUCAACUGUCACAGAAUGAAACGCACAGGAUUGUGGGAUAUCAAAGGCAGUGAAGGACAUAUCUAUGCUGCCUUCAAAAAUCGUUCAGAUGAAGGUAUCUGAGGAAACAGGAAGUGAAGCAGACAUUGGAUUCAGACGUGCUUUGAUGCCUUCCUACCUUGAAAUGUGUCCUCCAAAGGCUGCAUUUUCAGUUUUCGGAUGCAGCCUACAUGUAAACAUACCAAUCGAUCGUCUCUCUCUUCUUCUUCUUCUUCUUCUUCUUUUGCUGCACUUUUACUGGUAGCAGGCAGCGUUGCAUUACUGUGCGUGCCCCCUUCUGGAUUGGAGUGUGGAUCACCUGUGACCAACUGUAUUGAUCAUGUGACUGCAUGCACCAAACCGUGACACCCGCACCGUUCGGUUCGGGAUGAAUACAUGUACCAUUACACCCCUAUUAUCACUGAUAAACAUUUUGCUGUUUGUAAUUUUUGUGGAAACCGUGUUUUUUUUGUUUUUUUUUUGUUUUCAAGAUUAUUUAAUGAAUAGAAUGUUCAAAAGAACAGCAUUUAUUUGUAAUAGAAAUCUUUUGUAACAUUAUAAAUGUCUUUACUGUCAUUUUUGAUCAGUUUAAUGCAUCCUUGUUGAUUAAAAGUAAUGAUUUCUUAAAAAUUGAAACAUCUUAAUGACCCCAACAGAACAGUAGUGUUUCUUGAUUAGUUUGUCCAAGGACCACUGCAUAUUUUGCCUGUCCUUUUAUGUCCAGUAGGUGGCACCGAUGAUUCCACCCUUGCAUCAAUAACAUGCAAUAACAAUUGACUAUAACCAGUAUUAUUUUAGUAGUAUUUAUAUAAUAUUAUAGUAUUUAUUGUUUUGGGUUUUUUUUUUUUUUUUGGAUAAAUUUUUUAUUGAUUUUGCAUAGAUAGGGUCACAUACAGUUUUCUUCACAAUAAAACAUAAACAGGGAGGUGACCCUCUAAACCCCUCCAACCCCCCUCCCCAGUAAUUAUUAUUGUUUUAAAUUAUCUUUUGUUUUUAUAUUUUCAGUUUGUUUUUGCUUUUUAAAUAUUUCUAUUUAGCUUGAAUUUAUUUUUAUUUCCGUUAUAGUAAUUUUAAUGCUUCAACUUAAACUUGUUUUAUUUUGUUUUUUUUCUAAUAUUUAUUAUAUUUAACUGUUACGUCCCCAGCUAGUCUAGGGUAAGGAACAGGUAACAGAAUAAAAAUGGUGAGAUGUGUGGAGGCAGCAAAGGUGCAAUUCCCAACCCCAGAGCUGUAACAAAGACCAAAAACAACUCAAUAUCAAAAACAACAAGUUCUUUUAUUUACUAAUGUGGGAGGGUUAAGGCUGCAAGAGGGGGCAAGGCCAAAAUAACAAACAUAAACCCUCUAACUAAACUACAAAAGAAAAGAAAACAAAGUACAAUAAUAAACUAACUCCCUAACUAGCUUAAACAAGAGAAAACAAGAUAUAAAGAAAAUGGCACCCACCUCUCUACUAACCCUUCCCCAAAUAUUUAAUAUAAACUUAAUAAAGAAAGAAACCAUAACAAAAGUAUGUACAAAAGAGAUGAUAACUUACAAAAACAAAAAGGUUUUCUGGUAGCACCAAGUACAACAAAAGUGUCAACACAAUAACAAAGAAAUUAAUCAACAAGGUAUAAGUCAAAAUAACAAAUAAGUCUUUCUGGGUUGGGAAAAGAAGCCUCACAACGCAGCCUCCACACACACACACACCCUGCUCUGUGCAAUGGUGCUGCUUAAAUCUCCACAGCUUUCUCCCCUCCUCCAAUCAAGUCAGAACACCAAUUAUUGGAGUCAGGUGGCAGCCAUCACUUCCUGCUUAUGGAAGUAGAGAGAGAG
Ctenopharyngodon idella (grass carp) is the source of this 2099-nucleotide long non-coding RNA. RefSeq lists it as uncharacterized. The transcript has 2 exons. The record is from RefSeq and is a predicted model, not a curated record. Lineage: Eukaryota; Metazoa; Chordata; Actinopteri; Cypriniformes; Xenocyprididae.